Molecule: long non-coding RNA, 288 nt
Organism: Aquila chrysaetos chrysaetos
Lineage: Eukaryota; Metazoa; Chordata; Aves; Accipitriformes; Accipitridae
Exons: 3
Source: RefSeq, a predicted model, not a curated record
CGGCACUAAGAAGUUUCAGGUUGGUGGCGUGAGAUCCUGCCAAAUGUCCGUCACAGCUGCGGUUUAAGUAAAAGCUGACGGGAAAACGAGACUCCACAUGGUGUUUUCCCAGGUAAUGGCAAGACAUGCUGUGGUGUCUGACAAAGCUUACCUCAUGAGCAGGAAUGGCAAAUGCUACAGUUUUGUUCUGUCUCUCUUCCUGGCAAUUGUCCGUUUUGUGAUUCAUUUGUGAGCUACUGGAAGGUGGUCUUUCAUUUUUCAUGGAUCCUCCCUUUAAAAAAGUACAUA